GAAAGAUCAAAUAAAAAAAUGCAGUUCAUACAAAAAAAAAGAAAAAUGUGUCUAUGGGCUACAAAUGAUCCUGCUCGUAAAUGUGCACGUGUCAACUUCCACAUUCAGAUACAUGUACAGGAUUCAAGUAGUGAAGACAGUUUUGUGAUUUUAACAUUCGGUUGAGGCAAACUUAAGUUAGAGAACAGAAACAUCCAGCAUUGUUUAUGGUUAUAAAUGGGCAUAACCCAAGAUGGUAAAAGUCUUGCAACAUCUUACAUUAACCUUGUCAAAAACGAAUUGUAACUUGUAAAGUAAGCAAAUGUUUCAGAGAGAUGUACAAGGACUGAAGGAGCAGCCGGAUCUGAUCGCCGUAUAGAUAAGAUGUGCAAAUGAUUGUACAACUGAACAUCACAUAUCAGGCCCUCGCUCUAAAAUUCAUAAUAUAUUCCUUUUCAUAGAGUAACCGAUACAUUGCACG
RNAcentral lists this long non-coding RNA (460 nucleotides) under Mytilus galloprovincialis (Mediterranean mussel). Lineage: Eukaryota; Metazoa; Mollusca; Bivalvia; Mytilida; Mytilidae. The record is from RNAcentral.